GACGAACGCUGGCGGCGUGGAUUAGGCAUGCAAGUCGAACGGUAUCAUCCUUUCGGGGGUGAGAGAGUGGCGAACUGGUGAGUAACACGUAGGUUAUCUACCCUCAAGACGGGGACAACCCAGGGAAACUUGGGCUAAUACCGGAUGUGAGCAACUUUUAGUUGUUUGAAAGGUGGCGUAAGCUGUCGCUUGGGGAUGAGCCUGCGUCCUAUUAGUUAGUUGGUGAGGUAACGGCUCACCUAGGCAAUGAUAGGUAGGCGGCCUUAACGGGUGGUCGCCCACACUGGGAUUGAGAUACGGCCCAGACUCCUACGGGAGGCAGCAGUCGAGAAUAGUCUACAAUGGUCGGAAGACUGAUAGUGCGACGCCGCGUGAACGAUGAAUCCCUUCGGGGUGUAAAGUUCUUUUAUAUGUGAGCAGUGCUUCUUAUAUUAACAGUAUGGGGAAGAGAGAUAUUAGCAUAUGAAUAAGCAACGGCUAACUCCGUGCCAGCAGCCGCGGU
Molecule: ribosomal RNA, 502 nt
Filed under: uncultured bacterium
Lineage: Bacteria
Description: bacterial SSU rRNA
Rfam family: Bacterial small subunit ribosomal RNA
Source: RNAcentral